GCACAAGCGGUGGAGCAUGUGGUUAAUUCGAAGCAACGCGAAGAACCUUACUGGGCUUGACACUCCCGGCCGCUCCUGGAAGCAGGGGUUCCCCGUCGGGGACCGGAGACAGGUGCUGCAUGGCUGUCGUCAGCUCGUGUCGUGAGAUGUUGGGUUAAGUCCCGCAACGAGCGCAACCCUUGCCUUUAGUUGCCAUCAUUCAGUUGGGCACUCUAGAGGGACUGCCGGUGUCAAACCGGAGGAAGGUGGGAUGACGUCAAGUCCUCAUGGCCUUUAUGCCCAGGGCUACACACGUGCUACAAUGGGCGGUACAAAGAGCAGCGAGCUCGCGAGAGUAAGCAAAUCUCAAAAAGCCGUCCUCAGUUCGGAUUGGAGUCUGCAACUCGACUCCAUGAAGUUGGAAUCGCUAGUAAUCGCGGAUCAGCAUGCCGCGGUCGAAUACGUUCCCGGGCCUU
RNAcentral lists this ribosomal RNA (455 nucleotides) under uncultured Syntrophaceae bacterium. RNAcentral's name for it is "bacterial SSU rRNA". It matches the Rfam family "Bacterial small subunit ribosomal RNA", at positions 923 to 1382 of the family's 1533-position model. The record is from RNAcentral. Lineage: Bacteria; Pseudomonadati; Thermodesulfobacteriota; Syntrophia; Syntrophales; Syntrophaceae.